RNAcentral lists this unclassified non-coding RNA (377 nucleotides) under uncultured Chlamydiales bacterium. RNAcentral describes it as "contains 16S-23S intergenic spacer region". Lineage: Bacteria; Pseudomonadati; Chlamydiota; Chlamydiia; Chlamydiales. The record is from RNAcentral.
UCCUGGUUCACCCAGGCAGUCUCGUUAGAGUUCCCACCUUAUAUGUUGGCAACUAACGAUAAGGGUUGCGCUCGUUGCGGGACUUAACCCAACACCUCACGGCACGAGCUGACGACAGCCAUGCAGCACCUGUGCAGAGGCCCCGUAGGGCGUAGUCAUUUCUGCCUACUUCCUCUGCAUGUCAAGUCUGGGUAAGGUUCUUCGCGUUGCAUCGAAUUAAACCACAUGCUCCACUGCUUGUGCGGGUCCCCGUCAAUUCUUUUGAGUUUCACCCUUGCGAGCGUACUCCCCAGGCGGCAUACUUAUCACCUUAGCUUCGGCACAGUCGGGGUUGAUUCCAACUACACCAAGUAUGCAUCGUUUACGGCAAGGACUAC